GAUGAACGCUGGCGGCGUGUCUAAUACAUGCAAGUCGAGCGAACAGAUGAGGAGCUUGCUCCUCUGACGUUAGCGGCGGACGGGUGAGUAACACGUGGAUAACCUACCUAUAAGACUGGGAUAACUUCGGGAAACCGGAGCUAAUACCGGAUAAUAUAUUGAACCGCAUGGUUCAAUAGUGAAAGACGGUUUUGCUGUCACUUAUAGAUGGAUCCGCGCCGCAUUAGCUAGUUGGUAAGGUAACGGCUUACCAAGGCAACGAUGCGUAGCCGACCUGAGAGGGUGAUCGGCCACACUGGAACUGAGACACGGUCCAGACUCCUACGGGAGGCAGCAGUAGGGAAUCUUCCGCAAUGGGCGAAAGCCUAACGGAGCAACGCCGCGUGAGUGAUGAAGGUCUUCGGAUCGUAAAACUCUGUUAUUAGUGAAGAACAAAUGUGUAAGUAACUAUGCACGUCUUGACGGUACCUAAUCAGAAAGCCACGGCUAACUACGUG
Molecule: ribosomal RNA, 497 nt
Filed under: uncultured bacterium
Lineage: Bacteria
Description: partial 16S ribosomal RNA
Rfam family: Bacterial small subunit ribosomal RNA
Source: RNAcentral